GCCGGGCACAGGGGCACGUGCCUGUAGUCCCAGCUACUCCGGAGGCUGAGGUGGGAGGAUCGCUUGAGCCCAGGAGUUCUGGGCUGUAGUGCACUAUGCCAAUCAGGUGUCUGCACUAAGUUCGGCAUCAAUAUAGUGACCUCCAGGGAGCGGAGGACCACCAGGUUGCCUAAGGAGGGGUGAACCAGCCCAGGUCAGAAACGGAGCAGGUCAAAAUUCCCGUGCUGAUCAGUAGUAGGAUCGUGCCUGUGAAUAGCCACUGCACUCCAGCCUGGGCAACAUAGUGAGACCCCUUCUCU
RNAcentral lists this signal recognition particle RNA (299 nucleotides) under Aotus nancymaae (Ma's night monkey). RNAcentral's name for it is "Metazoan signal recognition particle RNA (ENSANAG00000003663.1)". It matches the Rfam family "Metazoan signal recognition particle RNA". From Rfam's summary of the family: The signal recognition particle (SRP) is a universally conserved ribonucleoprotein. It is involved in the co-translational targeting of proteins to membranes. Lineage: Eukaryota; Metazoa; Chordata; Mammalia; Primates; Aotidae. The record is from RNAcentral.